AAUGUAAAAUAAUGAAAAAAAUUUCUCGAACUUAAAUUUUGUGAACCAGGGGGGGGGUGUCUUUUGCAACAAACUAAAAAUGGCUCGCGCACAAAAUUUAAAAGCUGCAAUCAUAUUUUGAGUUAACAGAUGGAACAUUUGUCGGGAUUUUAAUUACUGUACAAAAUUUCAGACAAUUUGGUUUAGUUUAAGUUCCUUAACUAUUCACGCAAAGUUACAAUUUUCCCGAAAAAUCAGCUAUUUGCAUGCUUAAUUAAUGCAUUUGCCUAAUUUGCAUAUGUCAGCAAUAUGCAAAUUAGGUAAAGGCAUUAAUUAAGCAUGCGAAAGGGUGACUUUUUAGAACAAAAUGAAUAGUCAAAGGGCUUAAACUUAACCAAAUUGUCUGAAAUUUUGUACAGUAAUUAAAAACCCGACAAAUUUUCAAUCUAUUAACUCAAAAUAUGAUUACAGCUUUUACAUUUUGUGCGCGAGCCAUUUUUAGUUUGUUGGAAAAGACACACCCCCCUGGUUCACAAAAUUUGAGAUCGAGAAUUUUUUUUCAUUAUUUGACAUUAUAAGUACCCAAAGAAGCUAUGCAUAUAAAAACCCGGAUACAAAUAGGUGUUUUGCGAAAUUGAGAGCAAUUUCAAAUCUGUUCAGUUUUUUUUGAUACACCC
Paramuricea clavata is the source of this 656-nucleotide non-coding RNA. The record is from the annotation of a GenBank genome assembly. NCBI's taxonomy places the organism in Eukaryota, Metazoa, Cnidaria, Anthozoa, Malacalcyonacea, Plexauridae.